Ornithorhynchus anatinus (platypus) is the source of this 5017-nucleotide long non-coding RNA. RefSeq lists it as uncharacterized. The record is from RefSeq and is a predicted model, not a curated record. The transcript has 3 exons. Lineage: Eukaryota; Metazoa; Chordata; Mammalia; Monotremata; Ornithorhynchidae.
GCCAGAGCUGGGAUUCGAACUCAUGAGCCCUGACUCCAAAGCCCGUGCUCUUUCCACUGAGCCACGCUGCUUUAUUUAGGUGAUAUCAAGAGCAUUCCUUUAGCCAUUUCAAUUUUGAGAUACAUUCUUCAGGAAAGAGAAAAGUGCCCAGUGAUUAAGGAAUAGGCAAUGGUCUGAAAACCUUUUCUCCCAAGGGUGAUAUUUGUAGCCUGCUGGCAUGAAAGAAGCCAUGUUAUUCCUUGAAAUUUUAUUUUCCAGUAUUUACUUACAGUGGUAGGAGGAGGGUGGUGUAGUAUCAGGACUUGUCCUAGAUAGAGGGAAUCGUUAUGCUUACUAUAGCCAUAAUUUGUGUUCAGUCUUUCUAUCAAACCAUGUUCAACAACGUGGUGCCAUCAAUCUAAUGAGGACAAUCAAAUAACCUAUUCCUUGCCUUGAAGUUGACACCCGCUAAUCAUACAUGCAGAAGUGUUUAUCAAACAAACUAUUUGACACUCAUUUCUUCAUAUAAGCUCAGUUUUUCCUGCACCCUAUCUCCUGCACCAUUACUGGUUAAGAGGAAGGAUUGCCACACUACUGGAAAGAUGUGAACUCUUAAGGAUAGGGAAUUUCCAUAUCCCUUCCCACUGUCCCUGGGCCCUCUUGGGCUGCAGUAAUGUCCCCAUCUUGGUGGGGGCCAGGAGAGAGAGGAUGUAGGAAAUCCUGGGAACACAAGUAGAUGGUAACACCUUUCUUUGAAUUUGUAUUUGAAACUGUGAGCCCCUCAGCAAAAACCAUAAAGCUCCUGAACUUUGUCACUUGUGAAGAUCAACUUUCUUGCCAUUUUCUUGUGUAGCACGAAGAUUUGUAUCGAAUGAAUAGUAUUUGGAAGGGGCAUGGGGUGAAAACGUGUUUGUCCUUUUAAACCCCCUCCCUCCACUGUCAUCUUUCUCUUUACCCCCACCCUCACUGUGUUGGUCUAAAUGAUAAUUAUUCUAUGAAGCCCUGAGCUGUAGUUGUCAAAAGUAACUAUGAAAUGUGAUUAGUCCUCUGUGGGUCCUUCUUUCUUUCCCUCCUUUUCUUUCUUCCUUUCUUCUUUCCUUCCUUCCUUCCCUCCUUCCUUUUUUUCUUCCUUUCUGUCUCUCUCUCUCUCCCUCCCUUCCUCCCCCCCCCCCCCCACUCCUGGGUAAGUGGAAAAGGUGAGGACAAAGAACUGCCGCUUGCUUGGACUCAUGCUGUAUCUGUGACUGCGCUAUUAGCUCUCUUUUUUUCCUUCUCAAAUGGAUAGAAAAUUUUUUGAAGUGUGGAGUACCCUUCUUGAUAAGUAGGUAUAAAAAAUGCACAAUGUGGUACUGUUUCAUAGUUUCUAGAUGGUUGUAUAAAGCAAAAAGUUAAUGUGGUUAUGUGUUUUUAAAAGAAAAAAGUGAUUGGUUACAGAACUCUGUCCUUUUUUCCAUUAUUACAAGCUCUCUUUGUUUUUCAACCAUUUGCUGGCUCUUUUGUCACUGGUGAGUCGUGGGUGUGUGUGGUGUUACUCCUCGCUGGGUUUCUUGGGUCUUUUGUUUCUGGCUACAAUUAUGCUUGCCCUUAUUUCUAAUUUGGUUAUAGGCAAAUUAGGAGUGUAAAGGGUGGAUGUUUUUGAAGAAAUUUUGACAUAAGGAAAGGGUUAAUUCAAUGCUUUCUCACCUACAGACUUUGACAAAAAUUAUAUGUAAUGGGCCUACUUUGCAACACAUCUUCAGCCAUCCCACUACCUGUGUUUAUAUAGGAAAUUUGUGUGCCUGCCGGUAAUGUACAUAUACAAACUGACAGUCAUUUCCCUAUAGAUCAGUUUUUAUGUUCCUUGUUGAGUAGGGAGCUAGAGGUGGUGGGAGGGAGUGAACUCCAGCCAGGGAAGCCCUAUGGAUUCCUCUGCAAAGGACCCAUAAGGGCUUUUCUUUGGUUCUACCUUUCCCCAGGCGUAUAUCAAUCAAGUAAUUGAUUCUGAGUCAUCAGCUGAUAGGUGGCGGGGCGAAAACUAAAAUUCAGAAAUUCUCAAUCUGGACAUGGCCUCAACUAUGCAGUGGAGUCUUGGAAUGGCCCUCCUCCCUUUUUCUCACUGUAUGGCAUGUGCUAUUUUCUGCAGAGUCUCCUCAGUCUUCUUAAGGUUUGCCAUGGUAAAUUCUGCCUGUCUCUCUUGAGCAAAACCCAGAAACUUCCUCAUCCUUUCUCUGUGCGACAGUAAAGAUUAUAUUAUCUUGAUUUUUGCAGUUCAUUUUUAUGCCCUAUAACUGGUAAUAGAAGCCUUCAACUUAAUUUUUCUCAUUUCCAUCUCCCAACUUGGCUUUGAAUUUUAUAAUCUCCAAGACACAGGAAAUGAAGAUAAUCAGGAUCAUAGUAACAGUCACUCAGGAGUUACUCCAGGCAGGUGAUUGUACCCUUGAGGCACACUUGAAAGAAGAUUUGCAAAUGACUGGGGAAAUCUUUGCAGAAUCAACCCAGUACUGAAAACCUAAAAACAACCAAGGUAUUGUACCACAAGGCACCAGGGUGAAUACACUCACCCAUAGACCUUCACAGAACAAAAUGUUGUCACUGAAUUUCUUUCUGUAUUCAGCACAUUAGCCAUCAGUAGAGAGCAAAAUAGAAAAGCCAAUUGGAAAAGUUAGCUUGACCUUGGGGAAACUGCAUGGCCAGGUGGUGACAGUGUGGCAUUAGCUUCUUUUAUCUACCCUAGUGCUUAGGACAGUGCUUGGCACAUAGAAAGCACUUAACAGAUACCAUAAAAUAAAAUGGAGGUUUACAAAGCUGUAAUGCUGUCCAACUUUCUAUAGGACUGUAAGCCCUGGAGCUAGUUACAGAUGCCAAAUUCAAAGAUGUGAGCCAAUUACCUCAAUAUUACCCAUGGGCCUUACUCAUCUUUAAAUGCAAGGCAGAAUGAUAAAUCAUAAGGUCCUUGAGCAAGGUCAAUGUACUAACGUUGAAUCCCUGCCCACCAGAACCAAAAGGGCCUCUGCAUAGAAUAAGUGGUGGAAGUUGACCCCAACAGAUGCUGAAAGGUGAACUAAAGCAAGAUGGAGAGCAAGCAGGCAGAUGAAACAUUUGAGCUUAUGUGAAGUACAACUUCAGACAAAACAGUUCAAAUUAACAGGUCUUGAUUUGAAAGGGAACUGUUGCAGACAGGCUUUCCUUGCCAUAAUCAAGACAUGAGUGGCUCUUUGGUAGCUGAAGCUUAAGAGGACUCUGAGACUUAAGCAAAGCUGAAAACAGCAUCAGAUUCUGCACUCGGCAAACAUGUUGGCACAAGAGAGAAAGUCUUUUUUGUCUUUGCCUGUAAUAGUAGUAGGGACUGUCAGCCUCACAGAGACCUCCUUCCCCAUACCUGCAUCCAUGGAUUAAAUCUUUUUAAACCAUGAAUGCAUCACUUCACAUUCAAACCACGCCCCCUCAAGUGUGUAUAUCCAUGUGUGUGAAAACUCUUAACCAUGGCAUCUGAUAGAUGGAAUCAUUACCUGCCGGGAGAAGUUGGAAGAAGUAUAGAUUCCUGCAGGGGGUGAGUGCUGCACUAACCUGCUCAUGUGCCCCAAAUUCAAGUUAGAUACAAUCAGUGCAUCAAAACGUAGCAUCCAAAUCAUCGAGGAGGCUAAUAUCAAAUUCCUGAAAAAUAAGGAAACCUAAGGUGUUCGUGGUAUCAGAACAAGGAAUUCCAGCUUGAAUACAGGGCAAGAACAGUCAAUGGGAACCUCUCGGGGAUACUAUCAAGCCACCUCCAAGAAUGCAGGUAUGAAAAGGAGACAUCACCACUACUGGUUUGCUGAAAAUGACUCCGAUUUUAGCAACUACUUGCAGCACUAAGUAAGAAAUGAUUAAACUCUUUUCACUAUCUCCUGAUCAGAACAAAAUGGAGACCUCACAAAGCUGUGUUGGGUAAGAUUUUGCCAGCUUUGGUAUUCCACCAUCAAACUAAGAAGGAUGUGUGACCAAUAGUGGAAUACCAAAGCUGUCAGAAUCCAGGAAUUGACUGACCACCCCCGCCCUACAGGUGCACUGUGAAGGCCAGCACCACACUCAAGUGGGCCCUUAGGAAGUGUUCUAGGAUGGUUAUGCUCUGGGAUCUUUUUCAAUUUUAUCUUAGAUAGAAAUCUCUUGCCCCAUUAUCUUUCCUAGUGCCAAAUGAUUUUCCUUUGUCCUCUACAAGAAACCAUAGGUUCCUGCUUCAAAUCUUCACCAAUAAGUGACUGUUUCUGCACCUUUGCUAAUUGGUAGCCUGUGUUGGAACCAUGCUAGGUUCAAAGUCUAAGCCUAUUCUCCUUCUCAACCUGUUACUCUUCCACCAACUUCUUUACUUGGGCAGUAGCCUUCUCUUUCCUCCCCACUUCAGUCCUGACCGCUGUCAGUCUCGGUCACUUCUAUUAUUAUUAAGGAUUGGGCCUGGCUCCCUUUACUACCUCUUCCCUGUGAAUAUUUUCUGAGAGUUUGAUGAGACCUCCUUGCCUCACCACUUUUACAGAUGGAGAAACAGGCUUUAAACUGAGAAGAGUGGACUUGCCGAGGGUCACGAUACUGUCAGUGGCAGAGCUGCUGUUAGAACUUCUAAUUCCAAAUUUCUAACCUGCUGUCCCGAGACAGAGAGAGAGCUAAAUAACCGGAAUUGGCUUUCCGGGGCUCAGACCCGUCUGCUGCUGCUCCUGCUGCUGCUCCUGCGAACCAAUGAUAAAUCCAGCAAACUGGAAGUCCUCCAGAGAGAAGAGAAGCUGAGCUCGCCCUUCCCUUCGGGCCUCCCGGGAGGGUGGCUCCUGGUUCCGGUGCUGGCCUCUCUGGGCGACCCGUGGAACCGGACCUCGUGGACACCGGGUUCAGAGACGCUGCCUGCUUUGGCACCAGGAUUUUAUAUCCUUUAACCCACCCUGGACUGGGAAGGGAAGGGGAGUGGGGAGGAGGAGUGUCCUCCCUCCUUCUUAUCCUCCUCCCUCCUCCUCUAACUCCUUCCCUUGAAGAGGCAAAUCCUUUCCAGCUGCAGCUCGACUGUGAACCCCACAUGGAACAGGGACCAGGUCUGACC